This 253-nucleotide ribosomal RNA is filed under the name uncultured bacterium. Its description in RNAcentral is "partial 16S ribosomal RNA". It matches the Rfam family "Bacterial small subunit ribosomal RNA", at positions 524 to 776 of the family's 1533-position model. The record is from RNAcentral.
UACGGAGGGGGCUAGCGUUGUUCGGAAUUACUGGGCGUAAAGGGCUCGUAGGUGGCCAACUAAGUCAGACGUGAAAUCCCUCGGCUUAACCGGGGAACUGCGUCUGAUACUGGAUGGCUUGAGUUUGGGAGAGGGACGCGGAAUUCCAGGUGUAGCGGUGAAAUGCGUAGAUAUCUGGAGGAACACCGGUGGCGAAGGCGGCAUCCUGGACCAACACUGACGCUGAGGAGCGAAAGCCAGGGGAGCAAACGGG